UGGGGAAUAUUGCACAAUGGGCGCAAGCCUGAUGCAGCCAUGCCGCGUGUAUGAAGAAGGCCUUCGGGUUGUAAAGUACUUUCAGCGGGGAGGAAGGGAGUAAAGUUAAUACCUUUGCUCAUUGACGUUACCCGCAGAAGAAGCACCGGCUAACUCCGUGCCAGCAGCCGCGGUAAUACGGAGGGUGCAAGCGUUAAUCGGAAUUACUGGGCGUAAAGCGCACGCAGGCGGUUUGUUAAGUCAGAUGUGAAAUCCCCGGGCUCAACCUGGGAACUGCAUCUGAUACUGGCAAGCUUGAGUCUCGUAGAGGGGGGUAGAAUUCCAGGUGUAGCGGUGAAAUGCGUAGAGAUCUGGAUGAAUACCGGUGGCGAAGGCGGCCCCCUGGACGAAGACUGACGCUCAGGUGCGAAAGCGUGGGGAGCAAACAGG
Molecule: ribosomal RNA, 429 nt
Filed under: Chloroflexota bacterium
Lineage: Bacteria; Bacillati; Chloroflexota
Description: Chloroflexi bacterium partial 16S ribosomal RNA
Rfam family: Bacterial small subunit ribosomal RNA
Source: RNAcentral